GGGCCCGCACAAGCGGUGGAGCAUGUGGUUCAAUUCGAAGCAACGCGCAGAACCUUACCAGCCUUUGACAUCCCGGUCGCGAGCACCAGAGAUGGAGCUCUUCAGUUCGGCUGGACCGGAGACAGGUGCUGCAUGGCUGUCGUCAGCUCGUGUCGUGAGAUGUUGGGUUAAGUCCCGCAACGAGCGCAACCCUCGCCCUUAGUUGCCAUCAUUCAGUUGGGCACUCUAAGGGGACUGCCGGUGAUAAGCCGCGAGGAAGGUGGGGAUGACGUCAAGUCCUCAUGGCCCUUACAGGCUGGGCUACACACGUGCUACAAUGGCGGUGACAGUGGGACGCAAUGGAGCAAUCCUGCGCAAAUCUCAAAAAGCCGUCUCAGUUCGGAUUGUGCUCUGCAACUCGAGCACAUGAAGUUGGAAUCGCUAGUAAUCGCAGAUCAGCACGCUGCGGUGAAUACGUUCCCGGGCCUU
Molecule: ribosomal RNA, 468 nt
Filed under: uncultured bacterium
Lineage: Bacteria
Description: bacterial SSU rRNA
Rfam family: Bacterial small subunit ribosomal RNA
Source: RNAcentral